CAGUAGCCACGGUAAUACGUAGGUCCCGAGCGUUAUCCGGAUUUAUUGGGCGUAAAGCGAGCGCAGGCGGUUAGAUAAGUCUGAAGUUAAAGGCUGUGGCUUAACCAUAGUACGCUUUGGAAACUGUUUAACUUGAGUGCAGAAGGGGAGAGUGGAAUUCCAUGUGUAGCGGUGAAAUGCGUAGAUAUAUGGAGGAACACCGGUGGCGAAAGCGGCUCUCUGGUCUGUAACUGACGCUGAGGCUCGAAAGCGUGGGGAGCAAACAGGAUUAGAUACCCCCGUAGUCCCUGUCUCUUAUACA
RNAcentral lists this ribosomal RNA (301 nucleotides) under uncultured bacterium. Its description in RNAcentral is "partial 16S ribosomal RNA". It matches the Rfam family "Bacterial small subunit ribosomal RNA", at positions 509 to 808 of the family's 1533-position model. The record is from RNAcentral.